UCUUUCGAUCUUCAGAGCAACAGCGUUGUUAAUAAACAACAACAAUAACAACAACACCAACAACAUCAACAGUGGCGAUGGUGUAAUAGGUCUUCGGGUGUUAGAACUGUUACCAAAAAAAGGCAGUAUGAAGACUUGUAAAGGAGUUGGUAGAGUACAUCCAGUGAAGGCCUUUGCAGCAUUAUAGAGUACCAUGCGGUGCACCUCUACGUGGCGGUUCAACUUGUUAGAAGUAACAGCAAAUUACACUCUAUUAUAUUAAAAGACACAUCGGAUAAUGUAAUCAUCGGAUAAUGUGAUCAUCGGAUAAUGUAAUCCGGGAUAGACAAUAGCUGAAAAAUUAGAUCGGAUGGUCACGGUUGAAUCGUCUUAGAUAUAGAUAUGUUCAAUCCGUGUUGACCUUCAUACGAACACCACCAACAAUACGCUGCAUUAUACUGCAAAGCGUCGUUGCAUUGCAUAGAUGUGCAUGCAUGAACUCUUGCACACACACACACACACACGCGCGCACGCACACAUACACACACACACACACCACACACACACACACACAUACACACACACAGAGGGGCGUACAUACACAAAUGCACCCUUUCAAAUAGUUUACUAUCUCCAUUCUAUAAAAGACUUUAACAUACCUCUACAGCAGCAAUAAAUGUGUCAACAACAACAGCAGCUCAGCAGCAGCAGUAAUGGCAACAUCAGCAGCAACAUGUAUAAAGGUCAACAGCCGCAAUAUGAAUGGCAGCUAAUGAAGGCUUGAGUUGAAGCAGUAAUAAGAAAUAGCAACAAAUGCAAAUAAAUACUAAUAUAUGUCUAUACAUAACUUAAAGAAAAACUUGAAAAACAUGGACAUGCUUCACUGACUGAAAGAAUUAACAGGAAGCUAUCGAUGAAAGCGCUUAGGUCGUAACGCAUUCUCGGAUAAGACAUUUACCAGAAGAAAAAACAAAACAGGAGAAACGAAAGAAAAAGUCAGAAAGAAGACAUCAUAACAGUGUUAACUUCUGUUGUUUCAAUAAACCUGCAAUGGCUGUGGUUUAUGAGCAACUCUCUCCUGAGAAUGCUGCUUGUAUCAACCAAUGUUUAGACAACAUCCAUUCUGAAGACGAAGCCCUUCACUUCAUUUACAGCCGCCAUUUAUUUGACAGUUAUGCAUUUGCACUAAUCAACAAUGUAGAGCAAUACGAGAAAUGGAAAAUAACAGAUCCUAAAUUCUGGAGUUCUGACGAUGUGCUCGACUGGCUGUAUUACAUCGGCGAAAAAAACGACGUAGACUUUGGAAAUUUUUCAGCCGAAUCUUUCCAGUGUUUGAAAGUGGAUGAACUGAGCUACCAAGUUACAGAAGCGAACACCAAAGUGACUGAUACAAACGUCUACUCCAUAAUAAGAGAAAUAAUGGCGUCAGAAAACAAUUUUCAGUCAGACGACCACCAAACUUGCUUUGGCGCUAACCUUAACCAAAAAGAACUUUUUAAUGAUUCCACUGAAAAUAAUCCUCUUCCCUGUUCUUCGUCGCAUGACGAACCAAUCAAUGUUCAGUUCCCACUAGAAGUCUCCUUAAACCAAAUCCAAUAUGAUUAUUUGCAGCCAAAAACUGAAUACCAAAUCGAUGAGGAAAGAGAUUGCUGCCAGAAUUUAUCAUAUACCACAUUAACAAACAAAAUGGACUGUGAAUCCAAGCCCGACCUCUCAUCUCCCCACACAACCAAAUUAAAAGAAGAAGAAGAAGACAACUUGCACACUUCUCGUAGUCCGAAAUCUAUCAAACGAAUGCGUAAAAACGAAACGAAACCUUCUCGUAAACCAACCAAAUGCAAAGCAACAUCUUCGUCGUCCAAGAGUCACUCAAAAGCGCGUAACACCAAAAUGACCCGAGCUGGCACUCACCUAUGGGAAUUUAUCAGAGACUUGUUGCAUAACGAACAGUACAACCCGGAAUACAUUCGAUGGGAAGAUCGUGAGAAUGGCGUCUUUCGAUUUGUCGCCUCAGAGUUUGUGGCAAAACUAUGGGGCAUAAAAAAACAUAAUACUACAAUGAACUAUGAAAAACUGUCACGUGCUAUGCGGUUCAGCAGAAGUGUAGGAUAUUUUACCAAACUCCCAGACAGUGGCAUCUAUCCUAAAAAACUUUGCUUCAAGUUCGGACCAAAAGCUUUUGGCUGGAAAAAAUAACCUAACUGAAAUUAGGUUUUUAAAAUAUUUUAUGUAUUUUAUUUUAAUGAUAUUAUUAAUUAUUUAUUAUUAAUAUAGGCGCAGGAGUGGCUGUGUG
This 2272-nucleotide unclassified non-coding RNA is filed under the name Octopus sinensis (East Asian common octopus). Its description in RNAcentral is "eTS-related transcription factor Elf-3-like, transcript variant X1". Lineage: Eukaryota; Metazoa; Mollusca; Cephalopoda; Octopoda; Octopodidae. The record is from RNAcentral.